GCAGGUGAAUGCAACGCCAAGCGAUGGGCGUUGCGCUCCAUAUUGUCUUACUUCCUAAUUUUUGAAUUAUUGCAUAGCACAUUUAAUUCGUAACAUGCCGACUUUAGUCGGCAUUU
Molecule: small RNA, 116 nt
Filed under: Hafnia paralvei
Lineage: Bacteria; Pseudomonadati; Pseudomonadota; Gammaproteobacteria; Enterobacterales; Hafniaceae
Description: Fumarate/nitrate reductase regulator sRNA
Rfam family: Fumarate/nitrate reductase regulator sRNA
Source: RNAcentral